This 61-nucleotide transfer RNA is filed under the name Phrynocephalus ornatus. RNAcentral's name for it is "tRNA-Cys". Lineage: Eukaryota; Metazoa; Chordata; Lepidosauria; Squamata; Agamidae. The record is from RNAcentral.
GACCUAAAUAAACAGCUGGAUUGCAAAUCUAGCUUAGAAAAUGUGAAUUUUCAUAGGUUUA